RNAcentral lists this transfer RNA (88 nucleotides) under Opitutales bacterium. Its description in RNAcentral is "tRNA-Ser". It matches the Rfam family "tRNA". From Rfam's summary of the family: Transfer RNA (tRNA) molecules are approximately 80 nucleotides in length. Their secondary structure includes four short double-helical elements and three loops (D, anti-codon, and T loops). The record is from RNAcentral. Lineage: Bacteria; Pseudomonadati; Verrucomicrobiota; Opitutia; Opitutales.
GGAGAGGUGUCAGAGUGGUCGAUCGUGCCUGACUCGAAAUCAGGUGUACCGCAAGGUACCGGGGGUUCGAAUCCCCCCCUCUCCGCCA